This 24-nucleotide non-coding RNA is filed under the name Arabidopsis thaliana (thale cress). Lineage: Eukaryota; Viridiplantae; Streptophyta; Magnoliopsida; Brassicales; Brassicaceae. The record is from RNAcentral.
AGAAUAGGGUUGGACAUAUGAGUA